RNAcentral lists this transfer RNA (63 nucleotides) under Robertsicus elaphensis. Its description in RNAcentral is "tRNA-Glu". The record is from RNAcentral. Lineage: Eukaryota; Metazoa; Arthropoda; Arachnida; Ixodida; Ixodidae.
AUUUAAAUGGUGUAUUUUAAACACAUAACAUUUUCAUUGUUAAGUAUAUUAAAUAUUUAAAUA